UUGGUAAAACACCAAAUGCUGUCCACUUACACUGAACCCCGUUCAGCAGUAAGUCCACCCCAUUCUUAUAGUAACUGAAAGCUGCCUCAUAGUCCUCAUUGACCUCGCUGUCCAGGGCCAUGUGGAUCUGCUUGGCCGCCUCCACCAGGAUACAUCUCUGUCUGUUGUCACUGGGCUCAGUGUUCGUGUGCCCCCAGUGACUCCACUGCUUAGGUCUUGGCAGCAGAGCAUGAUCAUCUGAGCCAGCGGAAACAAAGAGUCAACGUCCAAACCAGCACAGGAACUUCAGAUCUGUGGUCGCUUGCUGCAUAUGUUGCACACGGUCAGCAGGGAAGGUGCUGUCGGGCAGGAACACGCUGCAAAGACACUCCAGUCCUGCGCCAGAUGUGGUUACAUUUCCCGAGUCCCAGUCCUCCACUGGCUGCAAGAAAACAGUGUUAUUUUUCUCAGAUAUUACAUGGAAGACAAUUUAAUAAAGGAUGGUGAAGAUAUAUUUAGAAGUUACGAGCCAAGCCAGUGCAGGGUUCAGCAUGGGAAGGAGAAGCAGCAGAGUCAGAGGCAUUAUGUCACUGCUGGUAGUUUGUCUGAUUGCUUUCUGAUCUGAUGUCUACUAUUGACAGUGGCUUUUAUACUUUUUAUUGGCCUAUCUUAAGCAUGUGACUUGAUUCCACAGUCCUAACAACUUUAUUAGCAUCCUUGAGAUCAGUGCAGAUGUGCAUAUGGUGGGAUCAGUACAGUUUUAUGAUUUCUGAUUGGGUUAUUUUUAGUUUACUUAGACAUUGACAAAACUUCAGCAUGAAAAUAGUAACUGUUCCCUGGAAAGAGGAACCUGAACCUGAUAAAAAUCGGGUAAUUUAACUUUUAAUUCAUUAAAAAAAUGUGUAGGUAGUGAGAAUGCAUUCAAUAUUAAAAACAGUGAAGUGCUUCAGAAUCAUCUAAUAUGACAAGGGGACCACAUUGGCACGCGUAAAACAGUAUUUUGAAGUGAAAUCGAGAUAUUUUUCUUCACACUCAAUGAUUUACGUUUUUCUCAUGCUACAGUAUGCAUCUCCUAUGUAGCACAAAAAUAGGAAGGAGGUCUCACCCAUUUUUAUCAUGCUGAGAGCCACAAUUUGGCCUGAGAUUAGUCACAAUACAACAGAAUGGCUUAGACAUCAGAGAGUCAGAUUUUCUUAAAUGAAUAUACUUCAACUCAGGUACAAAAGAGGAAAGUGCCAGCACCAUUCACUAGGCUGGUGAUAUUUGAUUUCUCUUCCCAGUCAGUUUGUGUUUUGAUUAGCUGGGGCUAUAGGGUAAUUGGUUCAAUAUUAAUCUUAAGCUUUCAGUACACCCUGGAGAUAAACCGAAAAUUGAAUACGAGUCUAACAAAGCAACCUAUUCUUGAAUCAUACUGCUCAUGUUAAUGUGUGGAAAAGCAAAUGAGCUUUUUUUUCUUCUCUGUCCAAGUUCUCUGUAAACUAAGGUUACAAGAAGCAUAGGGGAGUACCAGCAAAUUCAGUUCAUUUUGAUCUUGACACUGAAAAAAACAGUAAUUGUUUAUGCCUUUUUGCUGCAGUACUUGCACCUUUUGUAAGUGAUCGUAUGUAUCUUUAGCAUAUACAUUUGUUCUUUUGAUUCAGUUGUAAUUACAGGGUGUGAGCUCAUUAUUCAGUUGGUUUGAAAUCCUGUUUAACCUACUAUCCAAUGGCAAAUGUAUCUAUUUUAGGUUGACUAUAUACAGUAUGUAUUUGCCCUAUGUUUCAGUCAUAAAACAUAAAUUGACAUAGACACAGUAGUACCAAAACAUAAGUGUAUUGGCACUAUUAAAGGCUGCAGAUACAAAGAUUAUUCAGAGUAUUUACAUGUAAAAAGUAACCUUUCCAAUAGCUGGACUGAACUUGAGUAGCAAACUACGCUAUCAGUGAAUUUUGUAUUCAUUUAUCUAAUUAUAUAUUUUUUCUUUUGAUUCCAUAUUGGACUGAACACACUGGAAUUUACACUUUUUUAUUGAUUUAUUCUCUCGGUUAAUUGUUUCCUUGGGUCAUCUGGAACUAAUUUUUAACAGUACACUU
Molecule: long non-coding RNA, 2051 nt
Organism: Xiphias gladius (swordfish)
Lineage: Eukaryota; Metazoa; Chordata; Actinopteri; Istiophoriformes; Xiphiidae
Exons: 3
Source: RefSeq, a predicted model, not a curated record